GUUCUCAGUUCGGACUGCAGUCUGCAACUCGACUGCACGAAGCUGGAAUCGCUAGUAAUCGCGGAUCAGCACGCCGCGGUGAAUACGUUCCCGGGCCUUGUACACACCGCCCGUCACACCAUGGGAGUCGGAAAUGCCCGAAGUCGGUGACCGAACCGAAAGGAAGGAGCCGCCGAAGGCAGGUCUGGUGACUGGGGUGAAGUCGUAACAAGGUAGC
This 217-nucleotide ribosomal RNA is filed under the name uncultured bacterium. RNAcentral describes it as "partial 16S ribosomal RNA". It matches the Rfam family "Bacterial small subunit ribosomal RNA", at positions 1284 to 1500 of the family's 1533-position model. The record is from RNAcentral.